UUCCUCGAAGUUUAUUUCUAUAAUUCUCUAUAAAAAAGUGUAACUUCAGAGAACCGUUAUUGACGACCAACGUAACGAAGGAAAUUAAAGUCGUUCCUGGAUGGAUAGUUCUUGCAAUGAGCGAUAAGAGCGCCCGCGGUUUGAUACUCCACCAAGAUUAUAUAAAGACGAUAAGACCGGAAGUUUGUUGACUUAAAUAUAACCGCUUUUGUACUAAUUUAAUGACGUCACAAAUACGCGAACAGAGAACUGUCUUGGCAAUAGUCACACCAAAUAUGGCAGUUUUGCUCGGCACGUGUGAGGCAAAGUUCACGUGCCCAAAUGAAUUCUGCAACGUGGUGCUUUUUGCAGCAGCCUGAUUUCCAGUCACUCGUUAUAUCACAGCUUUCUUCCGUGUCAAGAAUA
This is a long non-coding RNA of Temnothorax curvispinosus, 405 nucleotides long. RefSeq lists it as uncharacterized. The transcript is spliced from 3 exons. The record is from RefSeq and is a predicted model, not a curated record. Lineage: Eukaryota; Metazoa; Arthropoda; Insecta; Hymenoptera; Formicidae.